UGGGGAAUCUUAGACAAUGGGGGAAACCCUGAUCUAGCCAUGCCGCGUGAGUGACGAAGGCCCUAGGGUCGUAAAGCUCUUUCGCCAGGGAAGAUAAUGACGGUACCUGGUAAAGAAACCCCGGCUAACUCCGUGCCAGCAGCCGCGGUAAUACGGAGGGGGUUAGCGUUGUUCGGAAUUACUGGGCGUAAAGCGCACGUAGGCGGACCAGUCAGUCAGAGGUGAAAUCCCGGGGCUCAACCUCGGAACUGCCUUUGAUACUGCUGGUCUCGAGUUCGAGAGAGGUGAGUGGAAUUCCGAGUGUAGAGGUGAAAUUCGUAGAUAUUCGGAGGAACACCAGUGGCGAAGGCGGCUCACUGGCUCGAUACUGACGCUGAGGUGCGAAAGCGUGGGGAGCAAACAGGAUUAGAUACCCCUGUAGUCC
This 424-nucleotide ribosomal RNA is filed under the name uncultured prokaryote. RNAcentral's name for it is "bacterial SSU rRNA". It matches the Rfam family "Bacterial small subunit ribosomal RNA", at positions 355 to 796 of the family's 1533-position model. The record is from RNAcentral.